UUCCUAAAAUCAUCUCAAACAGAAAGAGAAGAAAAAUUAAAACAUUUAAUGUUCAUUGUUCUGUUCUUACUGUCCCGGUUAAUGAAAGUGAAAUGAGAUCAAAAUAAUUAUUUAAACAUAGAAGGGAUGCAGAUUAUAUAUGAUAUGCUCUGGUCAAACAAGGGUUAAGUUUCUCAGAGGGUUGAUGAGCUCUGAUGAGAGCCUAUUGUUUUACUCCACUCCUCACAUGUCAGCCAAUCGGUGAAGCUCUAGGCAGCUCUUGUCCCUCCUUAGUACCAGCUCCCAAGUUUUCAGUCUCUUGCUUCUACAGCCGAACAGAGCAGACGGACUAAAACUUUUGUUAUCGAGCGAAACCGGAGGGUUUACUGAGCUGUGGCUCCAUGUAAAUGCUGAGCAUCCACUCGACGGCGGUCAGGUUUUUAUAUGGGACGAAUCCAAAGACCAGGUCAGCGAUUCCAGAACCCAGAGUGUUCCAGUGUUCACUGGAUGGCGAGCCAACCCAAGAUCCUAGGAGACGAUAUACAUGUACACGCACACUCAUUUGCACAUUGAUGGACUACAAUCCUCUACUGUACAAGUAGUACGGUAGGACAGACAAUCACACACACACUCCUUGUCAGACGAAUUCUAUGGGCCCCACCGGUACCAUUUGGACUU
Molecule: non-coding RNA, 657 nt
Organism: Maylandia zebra (zebra mbuna)
Lineage: Eukaryota; Metazoa; Chordata; Actinopteri; Cichliformes; Cichlidae
Source: RefSeq, a predicted model, not a curated record